This is a non-coding RNA of Taeniopygia guttata (zebra finch), 1396 nucleotides long. The record is from the annotation of a RefSeq genome assembly. NCBI's taxonomy places the organism in Eukaryota, Metazoa, Chordata, Aves, Passeriformes, Estrildidae.
AUCUCAGUACACCCUUUUUUUUCUGGUUUCUUUGAUUCAUACUAGCUGAUAUAAAAAUACUUAGACCCAUGCACUGCAUUAGACCUGUCGUUUGGAAGGACCAAUCACCUGUUCAAUAGUUUUAAUAGUUUUAAUCACUAUUUUGAUUAAAAAAUCAGAUAGUAAACUACACUAGGUGCAUAAAAAGCAUGUUUAAAAAGGGGUCUCUUGCUGAUUUCAAGACAUAAGAACAUGAAAAUGAGUAUAUUACUACUGAUGACAUGUCAUAUAAAUUUAUAUGACAAAAUAUCUCCAUUUAAGCUAGAGAGCUAAACUUACAUUUCAGCCUGCUAAAACUUUUAAGGGUAACAAGACCAUGGGAAAAGCCUGACUAUGAAGACAGUGGCCUUGAUAGGCAGAGAGAAAUCCCACCUAUUGAGUAAUGUCAAAACCAGCAGUUGUAGGACCAGGUAAUGGAAGAUGUUUGCUGGUCAGGCAUACUUUUGAUGUAUAUUUGUAAUAUUUUAAUUAAUAAAUAAAAUAAAAUAAUCAAUCAAAUAAUAAAUUAAUAAAUAAAAUAAUAUCAUCAAUCUUAGAAAGCAGGGCGCACAGUACAACAAGCAAAGAAAAUAAGGGUGACUCUGCUCAGGGAAUUUCUCAGGGAAUUUCCAGGCAAAUUCCCUGUGGAAAUAAAAAAGAAGGAAAAAAAAAGUUUUUCUCAGUAGUGAGCUCUCUUCUUACAAGGGCAGGUUUGGGAGAUGAGUGGUUUUUGGGUUUGGGGCAGGGGGAGAGGUUGUCUAUUUGUUUGGGUUUUUUCCCCUUCUGUUUGAGGGUUAACCAAAAGGCAAUGGCUCAUGCAUCAUUAUUUAACCUGUAGGUGGCACAGCAUCACUGGAUAGUUUUCAGCCAUUCAGAUCUGCUUCAUCCCCUCUUGAGGCUGCCCCUGACCCUGUGGCUGUAAGGAAGCCCUAAGAAGAGCCGUGAUGAUGUGGUUGCUGAGAACUUUCUUCCUGGCAACUGUUUUUUCUUGUACUUGUGGCUCUGCACGAGACUUGCAGCAAAUUCCUAUAUCCAUCACCAAGCCAGAAGGCAAAACAGUGCUAAUCAAUUGCCAUGUCUCCAGUCCUGAUUUUAGCAACAUUUUUAUUCACUGGUACCAAAAGAAAGCCAAUGCAGCUCCCAAGCGUUUUGCCUACAUGUUCUCCAGGUUUUUCCUUGAAAACCAGACUGAUAAGGGGAAGUUUACUAUUGAGAAGGAUGCCAGCAAAUCUGUCUGCACCCUGACAGUCAGCAAAGUAAAGCAGCAAGACUCCGCCACCUACUAUUGUGCUAGUUGGGAUCCACAGUAGUAGAAAGCCACAAGGGACCUGCACAAAGACGUGCUCUACUUUCCAGAUAAGAACCUGAAGUGUUUGAC